This 483-nucleotide ribosomal RNA is filed under the name uncultured bacterium. RNAcentral describes it as "partial 16S ribosomal RNA". It matches the Rfam family "Bacterial small subunit ribosomal RNA", at positions 28 to 507 of the family's 1533-position model. The record is from RNAcentral.
GAUGAACGCUAGCGGCAGGCCUAAUACAUGCAAGCCGAACGGCAAGUUUGAUAGCAAUAUUGGACCUAGAGUGGCGCAAGGGUGCGUAACACGUAUGCAACCUGCCCGCGACAGUAGGAUAGCUCCCCGAAAGGGGAAUUAACCCUCCAUAACACCAUGAGUAGGCAUCUGAUUAUGGUUAAACCGCACGGUGUCGCGGAUGGGCAUGCGGUUGAUUAGGUAGUUGGCGGGGUAAAGGCCCACCACGGCGGUGAUCAAUAGUGGUUCUUAGGGGAAGGUCACCGAAACUGGCACUGGGAUACGAGCCAGACGCCAGCGAGAGGCAGCAGUAGGGAGAAAUGGACAGUAGUCGUAAGACAGCCCCAGCCAUGCCGCGUGCAGGAAGAACGCCUUCUGGGGCGUAAACUGCUUUUUCGUGUGGAUAAAAUACACGAGCGCGCGGAAUUGAAGGUAACAGAAGAAUAAGCAACGGCUAACUACGUG